Molecule: RNA transcript, 2930 nt
Organism: Galeopterus variegatus (Sunda flying lemur)
Lineage: Eukaryota; Metazoa; Chordata; Mammalia; Dermoptera; Cynocephalidae
Gene name: cytochrome P450 2U1
Exons: 5
Source: RefSeq, a predicted model, not a curated record
GGUCCUGUUCAGUAUUAUCAGGAAUGCUCUUUCUCACCUUCCUUUGUUGGUGUCUUUUUGCAGGGAUCGUGUUUGCACAUUAUGGUCCAGUCUGGAAACAGCAGAGGAAAUUCUGUCAUUCAACUCUUCGUCAUUUUGGCUUGGGAAAGCUUAGCUUGGAGCCCAAGAUUAUUGAGGAGUUCAAAUGCGUGAAAGAGGAAAUGCAAAAACAUGGAGAAGACCCCUUCAGUCCCUUCCCCAUCAUCAGCAAUGCUGUCUCUAACAUCAUUUGCUCCUUAUGCUUUGGCCAGCGUUUUGAUUACACCAAUAGUGAAUUUAAGAAAAUGCUUGGUUUUAUGUCAAGAGGAUUAGAAAUCUGUCUGAACAGUCAGAUUCUUCUGGUCAACAUAUGCCCCUGGCUUUAUUACCUUCCCUUUGGACCAUUUAAGGAAUUAAGACAAAUUGAAAAGGAUAUAACCAGUUUCCUUAAAAAUAUCAUCAAAGACCAUCAAGAGUCUCUGGAUGGAGAGAACCCUCAGGACUUCAUAGACAUGUAUCUUCUCCACAUGGAGGAGGAGAGGAAAAAUAAUAGCAGCAGUAGUUUUAAUGAAGAGUACUUAUUCUAUAUCAUUGGGGAUCUCUUCAUUGCUGGGACUGAUACCACAACUAACUCGUUGCUUUGGUGCCUCCUGUAUAUGUCACUGAACCCUGAUGUACAAGAAAAGGUUCAUGAAGAAAUUGAAAGGGUCAUUGGUCCCAACCGAGCCCCUUCCCUCAUGGACAAGGCCCAGAUGCCCUACACAGAAGCCACCAUCAUGGAAGUGCAGAGGCUAACUGUGGUGGUGCCUUUUGCCAUUCCUCAUAUGACCUCAGAGAAAACAGUGCUCCAAGGGUAUACCAUUCCUAAAGGCGCAUUGAUCUUACCCAACUUGUGGUCAGUACACAGAGACCCAGCCAUCUGGGAGAAACCAGAUGAUUUCUACCCUAAUCGAUUUCUGGAUGACCAAGGACAACUUCUUAAAAAAGAAACCUUUAUUCCUUUUGGGAUAGGGAAGCGGGUGUGUAUGGGAGAGCAGCUGGCCAAGAUGGAAUUAUUCCUGAUGUUUGUGAGCCUAAUGCAGAGUUUCACAUUUGCUUUACCUAAGGAUUCUGAAAAGCCCAUCCUGACUGGAAGAUUUGGUCUAACUUUAGCCCCACAUCCAUUUAAUAUAAUAAUUUCAAAGAGAUGAAGAGCAUCUCCAAGAAGAGACGGUUUAACAGAUGUAUAAAUACAUAUCCUUCCAAACAGAUUCUUCCUACUCCAGUUGACAGUAGAUCCAGCAACUCAGAGGAUCCAGAAAUUCUAUUAAGAGGAUGUCUAUAGCUGAUGAAGCUGAGGCUUAGAGAAGUUAAGGCACAAAGUUAAAAGUACCGUCCCUGGGUUUCAAACCUGCUAGUCUCUGUGACCGGAGAGUGCUUUCUGAACCACUUCUGCCACACUGGAUCCUGUAGCAGUGUCCCCCCGCCUGUCUUCAUCCCCGACUGAGUUCUUCAAGGUGAGGGUGUCCUGCUGUUAUCCUCCCCCACAGUGCCUUGCUCUGAGUGGGUGCCACUCAACACGGGAAUGACUUUUAAGAAGUGUACUUAGGGGAAAAAAUCCCACCUCCAUUUGAAUAACUACAGGUCAUAUUUUUGUUACUUAAAGGUAAUAAGAGAUUAGUAUGUGUUAUUUGUCAAUGUCAAAGCCAGUUUUUAAAAAAAAUUACUGGACUUUUGACUAUCAUUUCAAACAACUAUUUUUUAAACAAACUUAGUGUGAUGCCUUAGCUGUUGAAAUAUAACACAGAAUGUAAGCUCCUAGCACAUGGAGACUAGGCCACAUCCAUGGGUCUCUCAUUUACUUUCUUAAAGGAAAGAAGCAGCUCGUGCUGUUCCUACUGAUAGAGAAGAGGACAGAAAAGAUCCAGAGUGCCAUUACUUUGAGAAUUAAACAAAAAGAAAAAGGUGAAACUCUGAACUUGAACAGUUUAGCUAGAAAGGCUUCCUGUGACUUAUUACCCUUCCUUGCUAAGUUUUCCAGACCAGUGGGGACACCAUAUCUCCCCAACCUCUGACUUCUUAAUCUGUCAUUAGCCACGCUUUGGGUAGUUAGAUUGUCUUAGUCUGUGACUGGCAUUCCAGGGCAGUUCUGAAUGUGAAGCUAGAUUUUUCCUUUGAUGUACCAUAUUCCUAGGCAGAUUUCUGCAUGCUCAAGGAAUGAACGUAGCAUCUGCUUAAUAAAAACAUAACAAGAGGAAGAAGAAAAGAACUGACUAUUAUAUCAUCAAGUAUUGAUUGACCUUUGACUCUGCAUUCUUUGUAUUAUCUAUCGUACUGCUUUGUUUAAUAUAAAUAUAAUGAAAUACAGGCUAAUCUUUAGGUGCCUUUAUGAUUUUUGUUUUUUAAAAAAUAAAAGCUAAUAGACUAAAUGCAGAGGAACUGAGCAGAUGGAGAAGUUGUAUAGAGUUUAGAUGAGAUGAUAGAUGUGUGGAUUAUACUGCACCUUGAGCAGGACAGUUUGUUCCUGUCAUGGAAUUCAUAUGCUUUUGAAUUACACUAACAACUUGGCAUUAGCAAGUUCAUUACUCCUUAAUUUAUACAUGCAUUUUCAAUAUUUCUAACCAAAGAAUUUGUAGCUUACUUGAGAAAAAAUUUGUUUCCUGUGAGGUUGUGUCAAAAUCAGAUGUUUAUUAAACUCUUAAAUAUAUGCCCCAAACCGUAGCACUUUAAAAACAUCUUUAUAUAGUAAAUCACUGAAAGGACUGUUAAUGCUUUUCUCACACAUGUUAGCAUUUACAAUUUUGCACUUUAUAGUUUAUUUGAAAUGUAAAAAUAAUUGUACUUUAUUUUAUGUCUGCCUAAUAUCUAACUUUGAGCUCUCAUCUUUAGCAGAGUUUUUGAUGCUUUUAUUAAACUUUUAAUUUUAACUGAAA